Taeniopygia guttata (zebra finch) is the source of this 3196-nucleotide long non-coding RNA. The record is from Ensembl. Lineage: Eukaryota; Metazoa; Chordata; Aves; Passeriformes; Estrildidae.
AACACAGCAAAAUAUGUUCCUACUUAUCUUCUACCAGCCAAUAUUAGCAGUUAUUGUCAGUUUGAAAUAUUUUACAAGCCUUUGAAACAUUUACUUCAGGGCAAGGGUGCUGGCCUGACACUGGCCAGCAAACAUACUGAAAAUAAGCCUUGGCAAACAGUUUUGACAGAGAUAUUUUGGGCUUCAAGUUUUGUUGAUAAUGCACAGACACAAUCAGUACUACAUUAUAUUUUUAUUAAAACUAAUUGUGCAUAUGUUAAAGGGUUUAAAAACUGGAUGAUGGCUCUCAACAUGUUGUUAAUAGGAAAUCAGUCAAAAAACAGCCAUUUCUGUGAAGAUGUGCCUUACACAGCUUGUCUUGAUCUACUGCUGCAGAGUGUACACAUCAACAAACCAGAAACAAAUAGAACAAAUACUCACAAAUUUUCAAAGUAGAUAAGAAUAUGCUGGAUCACCAGCUGUGACUAAAAUUUGCUUGUAAUUCUUGGAUGUAUAAACAGGGAUGAAAAACUAAGGAGGGAGAACAAGCAAUAUAUGCAGCAGUGAUAUUCAGUCAUUAACAAAUUACUUGAUGUAGAAAACUAUGAUUGUUCCCCCUGAGUCUUUUAAAGACAUAGACAAAAUUUGGAAAAGCUGCUGUGUUGGAAGAGAUCUAAUAUAUCAAUCUAAAUAACAAAAUUUGAAGCCCAAAUUAUAUAUCCCACAUUAUAUAUCUGAUAAGCAAGAUGCUUUUUUGUUCUCUGAAGAGAGUCAUGAUCCUUACAGAUACAUCACAUCCUGCAGAAUGAACAUGCCUGCAGCCUCCAGAGGACAGAGCGUGAGACAGGAGCUGUGGCAGGAGACAGGAUGAACCUUAUUCUCAAUAUUCUCCCACAGCUCCACCACAGCAGGAGAAAAACCUCAUGUUCAGAUUUAGUUGCAGGCCCUGACCAAAUUUAAUAUAUAUGCUGGAGUAAAGAGCUCUGUCUGAAGAAGUAACACUCUGGGUAAAAUUCACUUCACUGAAUUUAGCUUCCCAAAAGAGCCACUCAUGUUUGCCUUGAGGAUUGUUCUAGGGGAAGCUGUUGGUCAUGCCAAUAUAAUUCCCUUCACACAAAAGCACAGUUUUGUACUGGAUACUAACAAUCCAUCCAAAGUGAUGUUAUUACCAGAGUUACUAUGUAUAUGUUGGCAAUUACAUAUAUUUUUCUUCUUACCACUGUAUAAAUUUCCUUUCCCUAAUAAAGUGUGCAAGGUUUCCCAAAGAGUUUAAUAACCCAGACUCACUCAAGUGUAGCUGUUAAAAUAAGCUAAACUGGUUUAACUUCUGAGCUGUCAGACCUAAUUUCAAAUGAUGAGAUGUGACCACUCUUUUCAUGUGAACUGCUAAAAUUAGGUAAUUUCCAAACAUAUGCAAUAAAUACAAGGAAGAAUGUCAAAGUUCAGGGUUUUUUUCGUUAUGAAUUUGCUUUCUUAAAUAAGUGGCCAAGAAAAAAACAUUAAUUUAUUUAAAAUAAUCUAAAAUAGUUAAAACUGGUAACAUACUAAUAAGCCAUGAAGAGUAGUGUUUCUGCAAUCUAAAAAAGUUAAUUUUCAAAAGGUAUUUUAACUUUUUCUUUUAAGCUAUCUAGUUCAAUCAUUUUUUUUCCUUCAGGCAGUAAAAGCAAAUGCAUAUGGCAUGAAAAUCUGUUAAAACAUAGUACUUUACACCUUUGUUUGUACCUGCUCCAAAUAUAUUUGUCUAUAAAUUAACUGCACAUGGUGGUUUUCACAUUGGCUUAUUUUAUCCAUGUGUUCAAGAAAUUUAAUACAUCACUUGUGUUCCCUCAAUUACAGCUCAAGUCACCAGACAAAAAGAGGAGGAGUAUAAACAUAGCUACGUAUUUUUGCAUUUUUAUAUGCAAUUUAUGCCCAAGGCAUCAACCGUAUGUAAAAAAGGUAAGAAAGUAACCCUGUGUUUCUUUCUAAUGCAUCUCAAGAGCUGAACUCUCUUCAAACACCAAUGUCUGAAGUGAGUGGUGGAUGCCCCAUCCCUGGAAGUGUCCAAGGACAGGCUGGACAGGGAGGUGGAAGGUGUCCUUGCCCAUGGCAGGGCAUGGGAGGAGAUGACCUUUAAGGUCCCUUCCAACCCAAACCAUUCUGAUCCCAUGAUUUUACAGAGAGAGGAACAUUUAGUGGCAGUGGUCUGCAGGGCAGAUCAUCCAGCAGGACCCACACAGUAAUCCCAUCCCAACACCAACCAUUCCUUCAUGCUCUCCAGUAGCAAUCAGCACUUAUGUCAGCAGCUAAACCCUUACAGGGAGUUUUUCUGAAGGAAAUCCACAGAUCCCAGGUAUUUCCUACAUGCUCUAAAGACACCCCAGGCCUGCCCCCUGCUCCUGUGAGCCAGGGUCCCUGUUCCAGCAAGGCUGAUCACAGAACGCCCCAGGCUCUCCACCCACUCCCUCGGCACACGCUUCCGUGCGGAGCGGGACGGAUGUUUGGUACAUGUGGGCUGGGUCACCUCACCCCUCUCUUAAUUUUAGCACAUGUGAAAUUUGCCAUAUGGGCAGCUCUGAAGAGUGAAGUCCUUCACUUUCUUGCAAGAGUAGUAGAGCACAAUCUUUUCCAUUACUGUUACCUUAAUGCAUCUCAUCCCUUGACAUAUCUUUUUAGGAAAGCUGAGCUGGAUCACCAAAUCCAGUUCCCAGCAGACCACACGUUCCUUUCCACAGGCUAAUCAAGAACUGCCUGCCUUGAGGGUUCACCUUCUCUGUUCCUACCAUUGUUCCUAUUCUCAGGCUGCUUUUUCAAAGAUUUGUUCUCACUUCCACCCUUUUAAUUAGCACCAUGUUAUUGCACCAAUAAUAUUCUUGGUGUUAUGGGCAGGCAAGAUAAUUAAGACUCUUCUUUCCAUUCCCUCCUUGCAGUGGAAGCUUCAGCUUCCAUAUACACCAAGUCCAUCUUUCUUAGUGACCAGAAAUAUCAUUUCAUAUCACCUUUGCUAUUAAAUCAGCCUGCUCUGGAUUCAGACAGAAAGUUGAGACUUAAACCCUGCACUGCUUCACCUGAUGCAACGGUGCAUUUAUUUAAAGAGGUUACAUAUGGAAAAGGUUAAUGCCACAGUCCUGCAAAAACUUGCCUAAAUGCCUAAUUUCAGGCGUAUAAAUAAUUCCAUUAAAUUCAAAUUACUCAAGCCCACUGAAUUCAAUGUGCCUGUGCCCAUGACUAAAUUAUA